UAAAAUGGUAUAAAAGGCAAGUGUCGAUGGUAGGUUUCCAGAUCACACGCUAAAAUCAGCGAACAACGUAAAGACAGAGAGUUUGAACACAGAGCUUGGAGACGACUACAAGACAUCGGACAUUGACAUGGGCUGUUGCAUGUACGAGAGCUGCAUCUUCACCAAUUGAAGUGAUCGAUCUGACUUCACCGCCACCAGUGGCCCUAGUGUCACCGGUCCAAAACCCAAUGCAGGGAUUUAAUGUGGACUUUAUAACGCCUCAAAACCAG
Long non-coding RNA from Dunckerocampus dactyliophorus (ringed pipefish), 269 nucleotides. RefSeq lists it as uncharacterized. The transcript is spliced from 3 exons. The record is from RefSeq and is a predicted model, not a curated record. Lineage: Eukaryota; Metazoa; Chordata; Actinopteri; Syngnathiformes; Syngnathidae.